Molecule: ribosomal RNA, 379 nt
Filed under: uncultured bacterium
Lineage: Bacteria
Description: bacterial SSU rRNA
Rfam family: Bacterial small subunit ribosomal RNA
Source: RNAcentral
GUUGAACGCUGGCGGAAUGCCUAACACAUGCAAGUCGAACGAGCUGUAGCAAUACAGCUAGUGGCGGACGGGUGAGGAACACAUAGGAAUCUACCUUUUAGUGGGGGAUAACCCGGGGAAACUCGGAUUAAUACCGCAUAAGAUCUACGGAUGAAAGUGGGGGACCGCAAGGCCUCACGCUGUUAGAUGAGCCUAUGCCCGAUUAGCUAGUUGGUAGGGUAAUGGCCUACCAAGGCGACGAUCGGUAGCUGGUUUGAGAGGGCGACCGGCCACACUGGGACUGAGACACGGCCCAGACUCCUACGGGAGGCAGCAGUGGGGAAUCUUGCGCAAUGGGCGAAAGCCUGACGCAGCGACGCCGCGUGAGGGAUGACGGCCU